GCUGCAUGAAGAAAUUAAUUUAUUUGAUUUAGGAUGAAUCCCAAAGGAACUGCCUCACCUAACUAAUUAAUUUUCCAGUAUUUCCUGUAAUUUAUCCAUGUAUUGCUCAACAGCCAAAUUGAAUGGAUUUGGCAACCUUAGCCCCAACAAAAAUAAAAAUUUAAAAUUAGUUAAUAAUAUUAUAUAUAUUGUGAUAAGGUGAAUGGGGUGGUCUUUGAGGGAGUUUAUAUUUC
Molecule: non-coding RNA, 233 nt
Organism: Pelobates cultripes (western spadefoot toad)
Lineage: Eukaryota; Metazoa; Chordata; Amphibia; Anura; Pelobatidae
Source: the annotation of a GenBank genome assembly